Molecule: small RNA, 545 nt
Filed under: Candida dubliniensis
Lineage: Eukaryota; Fungi; Ascomycota; Pichiomycetes; Serinales; Debaryomycetaceae
Description: eukaryotic LSU rRNA
Rfam family: 5.8S ribosomal RNA (bases 170-323)
Source: RNAcentral
UCCGUAGGUGAACCUGCGGAAGGAUCAUUACUGAUUUGCUUAAUUGCACCACAUGUGUUUUGUUUUGGACAAACUUGCUUUGGCGGUGGGCCCCUGCCUGCCGCCAGAGGACAUAAACUUACAACCAAAUUUUUUAUAAACUUGUCACGAGAUUAUUUUUAAUAGUCAAAACUUUCAACAACGGAUCUCUUGGUUCUCGCAUCGAUGAAGAACGCAGCGAAAUGCGAUACGUAAUAUGAAUUGCAGAUAUUCGUGAAUCAUCGAAUCUUUGAACGCACAUUGCGCCCUCUGGUAUUCCGGAGGGCAUGCCUGUUUGAGCGUCGUUUCUCCCUCAAACCCCUAGGGUUUGGUGUUGAGCAAUACGACUUGGGUUUGCUUGAAAGAUGAUAGUGGUAAGGCGGAGAUUGCUUGACAAUGGCUUAGGUGUAACCAAAAACAUUGCUAAGGCGGUCUCUGGCGUCGCCCAUUUUAUUCUUCAAACUUUGACCUCAAAUCAGGUAGGACUACCCGCUGAACUUAAGCAUAUCAAUAAGCGGAGGAAAAGA